UACGGGGGGAGCAAGCGUUGUUCGGAUUUACUGGGCGUAAAGGGCGCGUAGGCGGCCACCGCAAGUCAAUUGUGAAAUCUCCGGGCUUAACUCGGAAAGGUCAACUGAUACUGCGGGGCUAGAGUGCGGAAGGGGCAACUGGAAUUCUCGGUGUAGCGGUGAAAUGCGUAGAUAUCAGGAGGAACACCGGCGGCGAAGGCGGCCCUCUGGAUCGUUGCUGACGCUGAGACGCGAAAGCGUGGGGAGCAAACAGG
RNAcentral lists this ribosomal RNA (254 nucleotides) under uncultured bacterium. RNAcentral's name for it is "partial 16S ribosomal RNA". It matches the Rfam family "Bacterial small subunit ribosomal RNA", at positions 524 to 776 of the family's 1533-position model. The record is from RNAcentral.